CGCGGGUUCGGCGGGCGUUCGGCACAGUUGCGAUCUGUGUCGAACCUCUGUUCUAAUCGAGGGCAUGCGC
Molecule: transfer RNA, 70 nt
Filed under: Sphaerisporangium melleum
Lineage: Bacteria; Bacillati; Actinomycetota; Actinomycetes; Streptosporangiales; Streptosporangiaceae
Description: tRNA-Arg
Source: RNAcentral